RNAcentral lists this ribosomal RNA (407 nucleotides) under uncultured bacterium. Its description in RNAcentral is "bacterial SSU rRNA". It matches the Rfam family "Bacterial small subunit ribosomal RNA", at positions 355 to 774 of the family's 1533-position model. The record is from RNAcentral.
CAAGGAAUUUUCGUCAAUGGGGGAAACCCUGAACGAGCAACGCCGCGUGGGCGAAGAAGUCCUUCGGAUGUAAAGCCCUUUUCCCAUGUUGAAGAAAGAAAGACGGUAGCAGGGGAAUAAGGCAUCGGCUAACUACGUGCCAGCAGCCGCGGUAAUACGUAGGAUGCAAGCGUUGUCCGGAAUUAUUGGGCGUAAAGAGCGCGCAGGCGGUUUUUACAAGUCAGAUGUGAAAGAGGCCGGCUUAACCGGCAAGGGUCAUUUGAAACUGUAAGACUAGAGUACAGCAGAGGAUAGCGGAAUUCCCGGUGUAGUGGUGAAAUGCGUAGAUAUCGGGAGGAACACCAGUGGCGAAGGCGGCUAUCUGGGCUGUAACUGACGCUGAGGCGCGAAGGCUAGGGUAGCAAACA